GCAUAUCAAAAAGCGGAGGAAAAGAAACUAACAAGGAUUCCCCUAGUAGCGGCGAGCGAAGCGGGAAGAGCUCAAAUUUAUAAUCUGGCACCUUCGGUGUCCGAGUUGUAAUCUCUAGAAAUGUUUUCCGCGUUGGACCGCACACAAGUCUGUUGGAAUACAGCGGCAUAGUGGUGAGACCCCCGUAUAUGGUGCGGACGCCCAGCGCUUUGUGAUACAUUUUCGAAGAGUCGAGUUGUUUGGGAAUGCAGCUCAAAUUGGGUGGUAAAUUCCAUCUAAAGCUAAAUAUUGGCGAGAGACCGAUAGCGAACAAGUACCGUGAGGGAAAGAUGAAAAGCACUUUGGAAAGAGAGUUAACAGUACGUGAAAUUGUUGGAAGGGAAACGCUUGAAGUCAGACUUGCUUGCCGAGCAAUCGGUUUGCAGGCCAGCAUCAGUUUUCCGGGAUGGAUAAUGGUAGAGAGAAGGUAGCAGUUUCGGCUGUGUUAUAGCUCUCUGCUGGAUACAUCUUGGGGGACUGAGGAACGCAGUGUGCCUUUUGGCGGGGGUUUCGACCUCUCACACUAGAUGCUAGAGCAAGGGG
Molecule: ribosomal RNA, 582 nt
Filed under: Rhodotorula mucilaginosa
Lineage: Eukaryota; Fungi; Basidiomycota; Microbotryomycetes; Sporidiobolales; Sporidiobolaceae
Description: eukaryotic LSU rRNA
Rfam family: Eukaryotic large subunit ribosomal RNA
Source: RNAcentral